AAAGACUACUAGGGGAGCCAUGGAACAUGGCUGAGAUGAAGCAUUCAGACCCUUAUAACCUGAUUUGGUUAAUGCCAACGUAGGAAAGUAGUAAUACAUAUUC
Molecule: non-coding RNA, 103 nt
Organism: Staphylococcus sp. HMSC078E07
Lineage: Bacteria; Bacillati; Bacillota; Bacilli; Caryophanales; Staphylococcaceae
Source: Rfam